This 253-nucleotide ribosomal RNA is filed under the name uncultured bacterium. Its description in RNAcentral is "partial 16S ribosomal RNA". It matches the Rfam family "Bacterial small subunit ribosomal RNA", at positions 524 to 776 of the family's 1533-position model. The record is from RNAcentral.
UACGUAGGGGGCAAGCGUUGUCCGGAUUUAUUGGGCGUAAAGCGUGCGCAGGCGGUGAUGUAAGACAGAUGUGAAAUCCCCGGGCUCAACCUGGGAACUGCAUUUGUGACUGCAUCGCUGGAGUGCGGCAGAGGGGGAUGGAAUUCCGCGUGUAGCAGUGAAAUGCGUAGAUAUGCGGAGGAACACCGAUGGCGAAGGCAGGUCUCUGGGCUGACACUGACGCUCAUGCACGAAAGCGUGGGGAGCAAACAGG